AGCGUAGACGGACUGGCAAGUCUGAUGUGAAAGGCGGGGGCUCAACCCCUGGACUGCAUUGGAAACUGUUAGUCUUGAGUGCCGGAGAGGUAAGCGGAAUUCCUAGUGUAGCGGUGAAAUGCGUAGAUAUUAGGAGGAACACCAGUAGCGAAGGCGGCUUACUGGACGGUAACUGACGUUGAGGCUCGAAAGCGUGGGGAGCAAACA
This 207-nucleotide ribosomal RNA is filed under the name uncultured bacterium. RNAcentral's name for it is "partial 16S ribosomal RNA". It matches the Rfam family "Bacterial small subunit ribosomal RNA", at positions 568 to 774 of the family's 1533-position model. The record is from RNAcentral.